CUCCGGUUGAUCCUGCCGGACCCGACUGCUAUCAGAGUGGGACUAAGCCAUGCGAGUCAACAUAGCAAUAUGUGGCAUACGGCUCAGUAACACGUAGUCAACAUGCCCAGGGGACGUGGAUAACCUCGGGAAACUGAGGAUAAACCGCGAUAGGUCAUCACUUCUGGAAUGGGUAAUGACUUAAAUCUAUAUGGCCCCUGGAUUGGACUGCGGCCGAUCAGGCUGUUGGUGAGGUAAUGGCCCACCAAACCUGUAACCGGUACGGGCUCUGAGAGGAGGAGCCCGGAGAUGGGCACUGAGACAAGGGCCCAGGCCCUAUGGGGCGCAGCAGGCGCGAAACCUCUGCAAUAGGCGAAAGCUUGACAGGGUUACUCUGAGUGAUUUCCGUUAAGGAGAUCUUUUGGCACCUCUAAAAAUGGUGCAGAAUAAGGGGUGGGCAAGUCUGGUGUCAGCCGCCGCGGUAAUACCAGCACCCCGAGUGGUCGGGACGUUUAUUGGGCCUAAAGCAUCCGUAGCCGGUUCUACAAGUCUUCCGUUAAAUCCACCUGCUUAACAGAUGGGCUGCGGAAGAUACUAUAGAGCUAGGAGGCGGGAGAGGCAAGCGGUACUCGAUGGGUAGGGGUAAAAUCCGUUGAUCCAUUGAAGACCACCAGUGGCGAAGGCGGCUUGCCAGAACGCGCUCGACGGUGAGGGAUGAAAGCUGGGGGAGCAAACCGGAUUAGAUACCCGGGUAGUCCCAGCUGUAAACGAUGCAGACUCGGUGAUGAGUUGGCUUAUUGCUAACUCAGUGCCGCAGGGAAGCCGUUAAGUUUGCCGCCUGGGGAGUACGGUCGCAAGACUGAAACUUAAAGAAUUGGCGGGGGAGCA
RNAcentral lists this ribosomal RNA (867 nucleotides) under uncultured archaeon. RNAcentral's name for it is "bacterial SSU rRNA". It matches the Rfam family "Archaeal small subunit ribosomal RNA", at positions 1 to 878 of the family's 1478-position model. The record is from RNAcentral.